GGGCGCCUAGCUCAGGUGGUAGAGCAGCUGACUCUUAAUCAGCGGGUCGGGGGUUCGAAUCCUCCGGCGCCCGCCA
This 76-nucleotide transfer RNA is filed under the name Holosporales bacterium. RNAcentral's name for it is "tRNA-Lys". It matches the Rfam family "tRNA". From Rfam's summary of the family: Transfer RNA (tRNA) molecules are approximately 80 nucleotides in length. Lineage: Bacteria; Pseudomonadati; Pseudomonadota; Alphaproteobacteria; Holosporales. The record is from RNAcentral.